Hypanus sabinus (Atlantic stingray) is the source of this 661-nucleotide long non-coding RNA. RefSeq lists it as uncharacterized. NCBI's taxonomy places the organism in Eukaryota, Metazoa, Chordata, Chondrichthyes, Myliobatiformes, Dasyatidae. The transcript is spliced from 3 exons. The record is from RefSeq and is a predicted model, not a curated record.
AGACUUCGCAAAACACCAGCAGCCGCGUCAGUAUUUGAAAUGUAAACACGGAACUGGAAGUAUCCAAUCAGAAACUCCCUUUGCUUUCCGCACUAAUUUACAUUUACUUUCAGCUGAGCUCGGGGCAGCAUCUCGGAACAUCCAUCUCCCCUCCCAAAAUAUAAAUCAAAAACAAAAAAAAAUGUCCGCAACAUCCCUGAAAUGGUAUCAGGCUCCACUGGAGAGAUUCAUGGACAAAGUAGCGAUUAUCAGCGUGUCGACCUACAGGGAUCGCUAUCUGGAGGAGCUGGAGAAAAAUGCGCACCCGAUGGGGAAAAGGACGGAGCGGGAUGAAGGGGUCAAGGAUGUGUCAAAAAUCAAACAGGAAGUGAUAAUGACCAAUGCAUAAGACCAAUUUGUAAACGAUGAAAAUAACUCAAUGAAUGAGCUUAGCACUUCUUCUUCAUGUGGCUUGACUGAUCCCACUCAGCAUUGAUGAUAUGGUAGAUGGCCAGAUGCGGGUGGACUGGGAAUGAAGGUUGAAAGGUCAGCGACGCUCGGAGGGACAUGUCAAUGAGCUCCAACGUGAACUUCUGCCUUUUCCUUAAAAUGCGCCCUUUCCCUUUCUGUAACUAAUAUCAUUUUCAGAUUAAAAUUUAUAAAGUUCAAACAUUUAAUUGCA